UUUAUUUAUUCAUCUUUGUUGUGAAAUCUUUUGUUAAAUGUGUUGGGGAAAAACCUGACCUUACUUGUUUUUACGUUUGGGUGUUUUAGGAAACUCCUUUCUGCUUUAGGCAUUUUGAUCCAGUAUCUGAAGUUUUCCUUUGUCCUGUGCAUUCUAAGACCAGUGUUUUCCAUUAGUUAAAAGCAAAUUGGUCAGGUAGGAAAAUUAGCUCAAAUCUAGAAACUUCUCUUGUGAUUGUGGAAUUUGUGGGUGUGAACAUUUUGGAUUCAAUAAAACCCCCUCCAUGAGCUCGGGCUCCUGGGUGAGAGGAAAAUGGCUUCCGUGUUGUAUGGUCUGAUUCUCUCACCCUCUACAGAGUUUACACUUUGCAGAGUUUGUCUGUCUGUUUAAUAGGUUUGUUACAGUUUACCAAAUUAAGAAUCUAAUCCCUCUGUGUGUGUGUUCUGACUUCCUUUAAGGUAGCAGAUGCCUUCUGGUGGGAGAUCGCCUUCGGGGAGCCGCAUGGCCACUUCCUCAUUAAAGUCCGGCCAGCUGAAUUGCUCUCCGGCCGGCUGCUCCGCAGGUGAACUUCCGCCUAUGGCUCUCGCUCUACCAGGACAAGGAACGCCAAGCCAUGGAACCAAGGAGUUUGGGGUCCUGUUGCAUGUGAUACCACCACAAAUGAGGCGUCAAGGUCACUCUUCUCAUCCCUCCCACUGCUGCAUACUGCUGAGAGGGCCACUACAACUGAUCAUCAUCGGAUGGGAUGCAUGCAGGCUCGCCAGGACGGCAGAUAAGUAAACGAUCUGCCUUCAGCUUGCAGGACAAAUCCACCAUGUCGCUGCUGAUGAUGGGAGAUCGCACUUUGCUCUGAAACUGCCCCUCAGCAUCUGAUGGAACAAGAGGAAUAGCAGCAGUUGAGAGGGACAACGGAAUCGACAUCUGGUGUUUGAGACCCCUCCUGGGUCCGUCCACACGACACUGUGACCUGCCUCCAACGACGUAUCCAGUACCCCAAAUCUCCCGUCUGGUUUCAUGGCUCCCUGUCCAAAAGACAUCCCCUCACCAUCUCUCAGAAUGUCUCUCUCUCCUGUCACAUCGCAGGUUGGCUCCCUGCCCCCACUUCACGUUGCGUGAAGAUGGGCGUCCUUACGAGGACAUUUGAGCUGAAGAAGGAAAGUCUGGGUCUGUGAUGACUCGUCUGUCUCAUAUCGACGAAAGGGCAACACCAUUCUAUGGAAAACAUUGUUUUAACAUCAACUUUCCCCCUCUAGCAUUUCCAACGAAUCGACUGAGUUUGCUGGUAUCUAAUAAUUCAUAUCAACUCGUGUUCAAGUUUCUUGCAUCUGUUAUGGUUAUCUUAAUAAAGCUAGGCACACAGGAUAAAGUAGAUUUUGGUG
This is a non-coding RNA of Nothobranchius furzeri (turquoise killifish), 1379 nucleotides long. NCBI's taxonomy places the organism in Eukaryota, Metazoa, Chordata, Actinopteri, Cyprinodontiformes, Nothobranchiidae. The record is from RefSeq and is a predicted model, not a curated record.